This 492-nucleotide ribosomal RNA is filed under the name uncultured bacterium. RNAcentral describes it as "partial 16S ribosomal RNA". It matches the Rfam family "Bacterial small subunit ribosomal RNA", at positions 29 to 507 of the family's 1533-position model. The record is from RNAcentral.
AGUGAACGCUGGCGGUAGGCCUAACACAUGCAAGUCGAACGGCAGCACAGUAAGAGCUUGCUCUUACGGGUGGCGAGUGGCGGACGGGUGAGGAAUACAUCGGAAUCUACUUUUUCGUGGGGGAUCACGUAGGGAAACUUACGCUAAUACCGCAUACGCCCUACGGGUGAAAGCAGUGGAUCUUCGGACCUUGCGCGAUUGAAUGAGCCGAUGUCGGAUUAGCUAGUUGGCGGGGUAAAGGCCCACCAAGGCGACGAUCCGUAGCUGGUCUGAGAGGAUGAUCAGCCACACUGGAACUGAGACACGGUCCAGACUCCUACGGGAGGCAGCAGUGGGGAAUAUUGGACAAUGGGCGCAAGCAUGAUCCAGCCAGAGCGCGUGGGUGAAGAAGGCCUUCGGGUUGUAAAGCCCUUUUGUUGGGAAAGAAAAGCAGCAGGUUAAUACCCCGCUGUUCUGACGGUACCCAAAGAAUAAGCACCGGCUAACUUCGUG